This 38-nucleotide ribosomal RNA is filed under the name Fusarium oxysporum. Its description in RNAcentral is "partial 28S ribosomal RNA". RNAcentral also lists the same sequence under 16 other names. Lineage: Eukaryota; Fungi; Ascomycota; Sordariomycetes; Hypocreales; Nectriaceae. The record is from RNAcentral.
GUUGACCUCGGAUCAGGUAGGAAUACCCGCUGAACUUA